RNAcentral lists this long non-coding RNA (579 nucleotides) under Vigna radiata. Its description in RNAcentral is "long non-coding RNA (VRAD_LNC001806)". Lineage: Eukaryota; Viridiplantae; Streptophyta; Magnoliopsida; Fabales; Fabaceae. The record is from RNAcentral.
GACGAGCUUAAUUAUAUGUGAUGAAAAUAUUUAAGUUUGGGGUUGCAUGGAGGAAAUUGAAAGGCAAUUGAAGAGCAUUGAGCUCAAAUGUUGUGAAAGAAAAAAUUCAUGAGAAAAAGAAAAGAAAAGAAGAAAAGCAUGAAGAUGGGCUCAAUGAAAAAGAAAAGGGAAAUAAUUGGGAAUAAGUGAGAUUGGUGAGGAAGAGAGUUGUGCUUAAAUGUUGAAUACUAUGGUAGCUCUCUUAACUCAAGGAUUUUGCAUUCCAAAAAAACCAAUUCUUCUUGUUAGCCCAGCCUCAUUACAGGCCCUGGAAAAGUCCUUUUGAUGGCAUUUGCAUGUGAAGAUUUUGAUUGUUUAAGAUGAAGGGAAAUUUUGUUUCAUAUGACUUGUGAAUGAUAGAGUGUUGGAGUGUUACCCUAAACACUUGACUGAUUGAGUGAAACACUUGCCUGGUGAGAAUUGCUAAAUUUUUUUAUUAUAUCUUUGCUCAGUGGAUUGGUCAUUCAUAAUGUGAAACACCUAUUGAGUAACUUGUGAACUGAACUGAAUUGGAAGCAUGCAUGCAUCUUGAUUGGAUUU